AUUGAACGCUGGCGGCAUGCCUUACACAUGCAAGUCGAACGGUAACAGGUCUUCGGAUGCUGACGAGUGGCGAACGGGUGAGUAAUACAUCGGAACGUGCCUAGUAGUGGGGGAUAACUACUCGAAAGAGUGGCUAAUACCGCAUGAGAUCUACGGAUGAAAGCAGGGGAUCGCAAGACCUUGUGCUACUAGAGCGGCCGAUGGCAGAUUAGGUAGUUGGUGGGAUAAAAGCUUACCAAGCCGACGAUCUGUAGCUGGUCUGAGAGGACGAUCAGCCACACUGGGACUGAGAAACGGCCCAGACUCCUACGGGAGGCAGCAGUGGGGAAUUUUGGACAAUGGGCGAAAGCCUGAUCCAGCAAUGCCGCGUGCAGGAUGAAGGCCUUCGGGUUGUAAACUGCUUUUGUACGGAACGAAAAGCCCCGGGUUAAUACCCUGGGGCCAUGACGGUACCGUAAGAAUAAGCACCGGCUAACUACGUGCCAGCAGCCGCCGUAA
This 498-nucleotide ribosomal RNA is filed under the name uncultured bacterium. RNAcentral describes it as "partial 16S ribosomal RNA". It matches the Rfam family "Bacterial small subunit ribosomal RNA", at positions 30 to 523 of the family's 1533-position model. The record is from RNAcentral.